This 330-nucleotide RNase P RNA is filed under the name Canis lupus familiaris (dog). Its description in RNAcentral is "Nuclear RNase P (multiple genes)". It matches the Rfam family "Nuclear RNase P", at positions 38 to 301 of the family's 301-position model. Rfam says of the family: Ribonuclease P (RNase P) is a ubiquitous endoribonuclease, found in archaea, bacteria and eukarya as well as chloroplasts and mitochondria. Its best characterised activity is the generation of mature 5'-ends of tRNAs by cleaving the 5'-leader elements of precursor-tRNAs. Cellular RNase Ps are ribonucleoproteins. Lineage: Eukaryota; Metazoa; Chordata; Mammalia; Carnivora; Canidae. The record is from RNAcentral.
GUUAAUUGACUUCCUCCAAAAAAAUAACAAAACACCUUGUGUCACUCUACCCCAUGUCCCCUGGGAAGAUCUGAGACUAGGGCCAUAAAGCAGCUCCUAGCAGGGUCCUCCCUGAGUCUCAAAGAGGUGCGUUCCCAGAGAAUGGGGCUCCAUGCAAGGGCAGACUGGGCAGGAGAUGCCAUUGACCCCACCCUUGGGGAGGCGACUGGCGGAUGCCUCCUAAGCCAGAGCUUGGAACAUACUCAGGGCCAGCAAAGUGAGUUCAAUGGCUGAGGUAAGGUACCCCGCCUGAGGGCCUCAUAACGCAAUUCAGACUACUCUCCCCCUCCC